Molecule: long non-coding RNA, 225 nt
Filed under: Elaeis guineensis (African oil palm)
Lineage: Eukaryota; Viridiplantae; Streptophyta; Magnoliopsida; Arecales; Arecaceae
Description: long non-coding RNA (EGUI_LNC003685)
Source: RNAcentral
CCUGCAGCUGCUUCUGAAGGUCGGAAAAUUUUUUUGACCAGUCCCGAUCGUGGUCGGCCUGAGUUGUGAGCCAGGAUGAGCUUCCUUCCAACUGGCCGAUCUUCUCCCGUGCGGUCGUGAACUCGACCUCGAGGGAGCUGAUCUUGGAAGCCUGAGUCCAAGAUCAGUUGCUGGCACGUUUCUGGAGUUCCUCAAGCUCCUUCACGAAGUCGGUCUUCUUCUGGG